Molecule: ribosomal RNA, 411 nt
Filed under: Actinomycetes bacterium
Lineage: Bacteria; Bacillati; Actinomycetota; Actinomycetes
Description: Actinobacteria bacterium partial 16S ribosomal RNA
Rfam family: Bacterial small subunit ribosomal RNA
Source: RNAcentral
UGGGGAAUAUUGCACAAUGGGCGCAAGCCUGAUGCAGCGACGCCGCGUGGGGGAUGACGGCCUUCGGGUUGUAAACUCCUUUCGCUAGGGACGAAGCUUUUUGUGACGGUACCUAGAUAAGAAGCACCGGCUAACUACGUGCCAGCAGCCGCGGUAAUACGCAGGGUGCGAGCGUUGUCCGGAAUUACUGGGCGUAAAGGGCUCGUAGGUGGUUUGUCGCGUCGUCUGUGAAAUUCCGGGGCUUAACUCCGGGCGUGCAGGCGAUACGGGCAUAACUUGAGUACUGUAGGGGUAACUGGAAUUCCUGGUGUAGCGGUGAAAUGCGCAGAUAUCAGGAGGAACACCGAUGGCGAAGGCAGGUUACUGGGCAGUUACUGACGCUGAGGAGCGAAAGCAUGGGUAGCGAACAGG